CGCACGUGUCGUUCUGCGACCUAUAUGACCCCGCUGCUACGACGGUGGCGGCGUUGGCCGCCUCCUCUGUUCUGGACUUCCAGUCGCCGUCUCUCGCUCCGUCUCGGGAUUGCGAUGCUUGGUCGAUUAGCUGCGAGGGGAUCAACAGCCAAAGCUCUCCUCCGGUGCCCUAAGUCCGUCCCGCCACUCCUCACUUCAUCCGCCGCCGUCCGUUUCUUCGGCACCGGCGGCGGAGAUGCCUCCUCCCCCCCGGAACGGCUCGCCCUCGAGAUGAUCCAGUACGCUCUCGGACUUGCCAGAUCGCAGAAAUCAGGAGAUUCGUACUCCCAUGCGAUGCUGGUGCUGGAGCAAGGAAUGUCCAACCUGAGGGAAGGAGGAGGAGGAGCGGUGGAGGGAACUAGCUCGAGCGACAACGCCAUGGGGAUGAUCUUGCUUGCCAUGUCCACUCUGCUUUACGAGAGAGGGCAGCUUCAAGAUGCCAACGAGAAGCUUGAGAUGGUUCAUCAGUUAGGGCGAGCUUCAAUAGAUCUCAUUGUUGCUGCCUGUGAGGGUCGAGUGGGGUUAAACUUGGAGACUGGUCAGGAUGCCAACUCGUUGCUGCUUGCAGACAAUUGUUCUCAUUUGCUUAGAGCUAGUGAAGAGGGUGGUGUUCCUGUGUCAGAGGUUACCAAAUUUCGUGCUAAAUCAAUUAAAGGACUUGUUGAUCUUAUAAAUGGGGAUUGUAUGUCUGUGGAAUCAACUUACGGUGGCUCCAAGGAAUGUGGUAUGGGAAGAACUGAAAACCAAUUAGGAUCUAGCCUUCUUUCUCAAGGGGAAAUUUCACAUUGCAUCGGGAAUUUCUCAUUAUCAAAAGAACUCUAUGAGAAAGCACUCUUGACUUUAGAGACCAAAAAAACAUCGAGCACGUCUUAUCUAGCAUCUACCAAUAUGGUGCCUGAAGAAGUUACAAUCGGAGCAGCAUGUGCCUUGGGACAACUUCUGUCUCAUUCUGGGAACUUUGCAGAGGCCGAGGAACAACUAACAAAGGCUCUUGUCAAGGCCGAAGAACAUUUUGGUUCAACUCAUCCAAAAGUUGGUGUGAUCUUGACUUGCAUAGCCAUUAUGUAUAAGCGCAAGGCACAGGUGGAAGCGUCAAGCUCUAUACUAAUUCAAGAGGGAUUGUACAGGAAGGCCACAGAUUUGCUCAAAGCUCCUGACUUGAAUGAGAAAGUUGUUGCACUACUCGAUAGGAGGGACAUAAUUGCUCUAGCUAGAGGCAAAAGGAGCACAAAAUGCCUCAGGUGAAUAAUACUCGAGACGCCUUGAACCGAUGGAAGGCGCCUUGAGCUGGGCGAUAGAAGGCGCCUUCGGUCGGAUAACAUAGAAGACUUCGACGAUAAGGCACAGUCUUCUCGGGAUAAAGCUUUACCGAUGGAAGGCGCCUUGAACACUAUAUAAAAGAAAGCUUCGAAUAGUGCAAUGAAAACAACUCUUCUACAAGCUUUUGCGCAUUCGUUCGACACUCCGACUGCUCCGACUUCGUGCUGCUGCUCUGCUACGACACUGCUGCGAUUAACUGUUGAGAAGCUAUCCAACAUAAAGCUCGAUCUGACAAUCUGCAAGCGUUGGGUGGAUAUGCGGAUCUGUUGUGCAUUCAACAGAACAGAAAGGAAGAAGGUGAAAGAAUGAAGCAAUGGGCCGAGUCUCUGUGGAGGAACAAACGCUUGUCUCUUGCUGAAGCUUUGGAAUUUCCUGAACCUACAAAAGCUGCAGUAGUAGACACCCGGACCUGUCGAGUUCUCUGAUGGAAGUAUGCAAACGCAGAGUUCGCCUCAUCUGUGUCAUAUCUUCACUUUACCACGAAAGGUGACUUUAUUUCAGUUCCCCUUGCCAGGAGCACAACUCUCAGGUAUCAGUAGCCCGAUCAUGGAGACAAGUGACCUACGUUUCGUUCCUUGCUUUUGUCGGACAAUGACCUGUUUAAUGGUCAGUUGUCGAUACUUUUCUGCAAGAGGCGAUCAAACUGAGGUACAAUAUUGUCAUGAGUACUUUUGUUUCCUUUUGACAUCUUUGUAUGUUUAUAAUGCAGUUAUUUUGGUAAGGCAACUGGAAUAAGGCACAUUUUUGAGAACCUUACAGUUUUCAGUUGAAGGAAAGA
RNA transcript from Zingiber officinale, 2137 nucleotides. RefSeq lists it as uncharacterized. NCBI's taxonomy places the organism in Eukaryota, Viridiplantae, Streptophyta, Magnoliopsida, Zingiberales, Zingiberaceae. The record is from RefSeq and is a predicted model, not a curated record. The transcript is spliced from 13 exons.